GCGGCGGUCUAAAUUCUUUGAUGAGGUUCAUAGAGGGUGAAAGUCCCGUCUGUGACCGGUCAAUCCCAUGUGAAGUCCUUUCGACGAGUCGAGUUGUUUGGGAAUGCAGCUCUAAAUGGGUGGUAAAUUUCAUCUAAAGCUAAAUACCUGCCAGAGACCGAUAGCGUACAAGUAGAGUGAUCGAAAGAUGAAAAGCACUUUGAAAAGAGAGUUAAAAAGCACGUGAAAUUGUUGAAAGGGAAGCGCUUGCAACCAGACUUGCUCGGUGCACUCGGGCCAGCAUCGGUUUUGGCGGUCGGACAAAAACUUAGGAAUGUAGCUUCCGGUAAUGUUAUAGCCUGGGGUAAAAUGCGGCCUGC
RNAcentral lists this ribosomal RNA (359 nucleotides) under Chroodiscus parvisporus. RNAcentral describes it as "eukaryotic LSU rRNA". It matches the Rfam family "Eukaryotic large subunit ribosomal RNA", at positions 173 to 539 of the family's 3401-position model. Lineage: Eukaryota; Fungi; Ascomycota; Lecanoromycetes; Ostropales; Graphidaceae. The record is from RNAcentral.